CCUACGGGAGGCAGCAGUGGGGAAUCUUGCGCAAUGGGCGAAAGCCUGACGCAGCGACGCCGCGUGGAGGAUGAAGGCCCUUCGGGUUGUAAACUCCUGUCAGAGGAGAAGAAUCUCCGAGCAAUCGGAGUUGACGGUAUCCUCAGAGGAAGCCCCGGCUAACUACGUGCCAGCAGCCGCGGUAAUACGUAGGGGGCAAACGUUACUCGGAAUUACUGGGCGUAAAGGGUGUGUAGGUGGCUGAGCAAGUCAAUGAUGAAAUCCCAAGGCUCAACCUUGGAAUUGCUGUUGAAACUGCUCAGCUUGAGGAUAGUAGAGGAGAACGGAAUUCCCGGUGUAGCGGUGAAAUG
This 350-nucleotide ribosomal RNA is filed under the name uncultured Aminicenantes bacterium. RNAcentral's name for it is "bacterial SSU rRNA". It matches the Rfam family "Bacterial small subunit ribosomal RNA", at positions 338 to 688 of the family's 1533-position model. Lineage: Bacteria; Candidatus Aminicenantota. The record is from RNAcentral.